UAUCAGUAUCCUGAGUAGGGCGGGACACGUGAAAUCCCGUUUGAAUCCGCGAGGACCAUCUCGCAAGGCUAAAUACUAACCAGUGACCGAUAGUGAACCAGUACCGUGAGGGAAAGGUGAAAAGAACCCCGGGAGGGGAGUGAAAGAGAACCUGAAACCGUGUGCCUACAAGUAGUCAGAGCCCGUUAACGGGUAAUGGCGUGCCUUUUGUAGAAUGAACCGGCGAGUUGCGUUAGUCAGCAAGGUUAAGUCAGAAAAGACGGAGCCGUAGCGAAAGCGAGUCUGAAGAGGGCGA
Molecule: ribosomal RNA, 295 nt
Filed under: Lactobacillus delbrueckii subsp. bulgaricus
Lineage: Bacteria; Bacillati; Bacillota; Bacilli; Lactobacillales; Lactobacillaceae
Description: partial 23S ribosomal RNA
Rfam family: Bacterial large subunit ribosomal RNA
Source: RNAcentral